Molecule: ribosomal RNA, 253 nt
Filed under: uncultured bacterium
Lineage: Bacteria
Description: partial 16S ribosomal RNA
Rfam family: Bacterial small subunit ribosomal RNA
Source: RNAcentral
UACGGGGGGAGCAAGCGUUGUUCGGAUUUACUGGGCGUAAAGGGCGCGUAGGCGGGAUGGCAAGUCGGUCGUGAAAGCCUUCGGCUCAACCGAAGAACGUCGGCCGAUACUGCCAUUCUUGAGGGAUGCAGAGGAGACUGGAAUUCCCGGUGUAGCGGUGAAAUGUGUAGAGAUCGGGAGGAACACCGGUGGCGAAGGCGGGCUACUGGGCCGAUACUGACGCUGAGGCGCGAAAGCUGGGGGAGCAAACGGG